This 254-nucleotide ribosomal RNA is filed under the name uncultured bacterium. RNAcentral's name for it is "partial 16S ribosomal RNA". It matches the Rfam family "Bacterial small subunit ribosomal RNA", at positions 524 to 776 of the family's 1533-position model. The record is from RNAcentral.
UACGUAGGGGGCGAGCGUUACCCGGAUUUACUGGGCGUAAAGAGCGUGUAGGCGGCUGGCCAAGCGUGAUGUGAAAUCUUCGGGCUUAACCCGAAAACUGCAUUGCGAACUGGUCUGGCUAGAGUGUGUGAGAGGGUAGUGGAAUUCCCGGUGUAGCGGUGAAAUGCGUAGAUAUCGGGAGGAACUCCAGUGGCGAAGGCGGCUACCUGGCACAUAACUGACGCUGAUACGCGAAAGCGUGGGGAGCGAACCGG